UUUGCUUUCAAUAAGAUUGGUGACUUUGAAUAGAUUCCUAUUCUGAGUUGAAAAGGGAAUUCGGUGUAAAUCCGAGACAGACCGGCUGCUGUAAUCCUUUAUAAAUCUCUUGUAACUACUCACACCACUAUACUUUAUGUAUGGGAAGGCAUACCAAGAGAUAAGGAAAGUCAGAAGACCUGCCAAUGCUACUUCAGAUAA
This 201-nucleotide non-coding RNA is filed under the name Bacteroides coprosuis. The record is from RNAcentral. RNAcentral also lists the same sequence under 1 other name. Lineage: Bacteria; Pseudomonadati; Bacteroidota; Bacteroidia; Bacteroidales; Bacteroidaceae.